GCGAUUGUGGUGGAAUGGUAGACACGCUAUCUUGAGGGGGUAGUAAGCUUCGCUUGUACGAGUUCAAGUCUCGUCAAUCGCACCA
This 85-nucleotide transfer RNA is filed under the name Campylobacter blaseri. RNAcentral's name for it is "tRNA-Leu". It matches the Rfam family "tRNA". Rfam says of the family: Transfer RNA (tRNA) molecules are approximately 80 nucleotides in length. Lineage: Bacteria; Pseudomonadati; Campylobacterota; Epsilonproteobacteria; Campylobacterales; Campylobacteraceae. The record is from RNAcentral.